RNAcentral lists this long non-coding RNA (842 nucleotides) under Junco hyemalis (dark-eyed junco). RNAcentral describes it as "lncRNA (ENSJHYG00000017023.1)". Lineage: Eukaryota; Metazoa; Chordata; Aves; Passeriformes; Passerellidae. The record is from RNAcentral.
GUCUGCUGCUCCUCAGUUUCUGUCUUCUCCCUUGGCUGAUACUUAAUUUAUUAUUUACUUAGUUAAUGGUUGCCAUAUCUGGUUUUUCUAUUUUAGAUGAGGAAAAAUAGAAGAGGAAAAAAAGUGUUUACAGGGGACACUUUGCAGCUAGAAGGAAGCUGAGUGCAAGGCCCUGCCUAUGAAUGGGGAUGACUUCUGCUUCUUAAAAGGACUAUCACUUGCAACCUCAGCUCCCUCCAGCUAUAGACAAAGGCUAUCCUUGACUUCUUCAGCUUGUUCAGCACCACCUGAUCCACUGCUGAGUUUCCUAGGUGUCAGACAAUGCUGGAACCAAGAACCUCUGAGCACGUUUCAUCCUCUGGUUUUCCUGAAACUUUCAGUUACACCCUGAAGUUACUGGAAUCCAUGUUCUGUUCAAGUAACCACAUAGAAACUUAUCAUGGAGAUCAGCUGAGACCUCAUGGCAGAAAUCUCGUUUGAAACAACUGGAAAUUACUUCACCUUGGCUCAAGCCACAUCACAACAGAUACUUUCUCCUCCUUCUCCAGCCCUGCUGUGAGCCAAAGGCGUUUUCUGGGCUGCAACUUUCCUGUGCUGAAUGACCUUGAGCCUCUUGCUGCUGCCCUGUCUUUGCUUGGCUCAGCAUGUGCAUCCCUUGCUCUUUUAAAUAUGCCUGCAUGCUCACCUUUGCUGUCUUCCUUUUCCUCCACAGAUGAAGGUAUUGGUCCUUUGUCAGGAUUUGAGACUCCCACGUUUUAGCUCAUAAAUACCUAUAGCAAUUCUCCAUGCUUUUGACAGUGAGGAUUUUUUCACCUUAUUAAAAGAAUGUUGGUAUUGUCAAA